This 550-nucleotide long non-coding RNA is filed under the name Hordeum vulgare. Its description in RNAcentral is "long non-coding RNA (HVUL_LNC010285)". The record is from RNAcentral. Lineage: Eukaryota; Viridiplantae; Streptophyta; Magnoliopsida; Poales; Poaceae.
GGUUUUCAGGAUCAUUCAUUUGAUCAUCAGUAGUUCACGACCUCUAUGCGUAGAACAUCCCCCUCUUUUAUUCUUGUACUCGUAAGUUAGCCACCUCAAUAUAUGCUUAGUUGCUUGCUGCAGACUCACCACUUAACCAUACCUCACCCAUUAAGCUUUGCUAGUCUUGAUACCUUUGGAAAUGAGAUUUCUAUAUCCAUGUGUCUCAGAGAUUACUACAAGAACAGUUGCAGGUACUGGUAAAGCAAUACUUUGAUGUGAGCGCGAUGAUUGUUCUAUUUGGAGUUUCUUCUCCUUCUUCAUCGAUCUAGGAUGAGUUCCAGGCCGGCAGCCUCGGAUAACAAGGAUUGACGUCGUUCUUUUAUUGUUUGUUCUCGUCCUUAGUCGGACCCUACUCUUCUGCAUGAUGAUUGAUAAUGUUGUUGUAUUAAUGUGAACCUGAUGUAGCUUGUGGAGAGCGUAAGCCAAUUCCAUAUACUCAUCCUUGCAGGACAUGUACUUGUAACGAUAUCCAUUCUUGCAAAACGACGAGAUGUGCUUCUAUCCCUGU